AAGUAAUGUUCAUUAAGUGUGCAGGCAGUGCAGGACGAAGCAUGCUCAGUGCAAAAAGCUUCGCUCCCCUGCCUGUCAAGCCUGAGGUUUGAACUCGUUCCAGAAUGCCGGAUUUACUUUUCAGGAAGAAACAGCACCUGGCUGGGCUGCGCUUUUCCCUUCCCUCCUCCUCCUCCUCGGAGUGCAAAUAAUGUUCUUUUGAUGCUUUCCUGCCAGUGGGAAUCUCGCCCUGGAGAAGGAGACAAAACUUUGCUACCUGUGAAACGAAGACUGCUUAGGUAGCAGUGGAAAUGAAAGCAAUUCUAUUUCCCACACAGGCUCCACACAUGACUAACUUCAGUGGGAAUUGCUCAUGAAAAAGAGAAAGGAUCACCUGGAUUCUUCUGGAGCUGGGAGCCAGGGCUGGAAAUCUCCAGGAAAGACCUGCCCAAGGCACAGGAAGAAGAUCUGAGCUCUGCAGAGGCUCCAUCACACCUGGAGCUUCAGGCAAGCACCACCUCCCCUGCUUGGAGCUUCCCUGCCGAGUGCUGGCGGCAGAUUGAGAGAGAAGGAAUAAACCCCAGCAUUUUAAAGCCACCCCGUGGAACAGAGGGGUCUGCCAGUGCUGGUGAAGUCUCUUUUGGGAAGCACACGGAAAAUCUGCCAUCCCAAAUCCAGCUGCUCCUUCCCCCUGGCAGCAGCCUGAGGAGGAGCUGUU
Long non-coding RNA from Poecile atricapillus (Black-capped chickadee), 697 nucleotides. RefSeq lists it as uncharacterized. The record is from RefSeq and is a predicted model, not a curated record. The transcript is spliced from 5 exons. NCBI's taxonomy places the organism in Eukaryota, Metazoa, Chordata, Aves, Passeriformes, Paridae.